Molecule: non-coding RNA, 227 nt
Organism: Caenorhabditis elegans
Lineage: Eukaryota; Metazoa; Nematoda; Chromadorea; Rhabditida; Rhabditidae
Source: Ensembl
AGACAAAAAGCCAAAUGAAAAAGAGGAAAAGGAGUGGAAGGUUCUUCAACUGCCGGCAAAAAGUCAAAGUUAACAUAAUCUCAUAUGAAAAAUGGCACGACACGUUAUGUCGUCCUUUUGUUUCAAACACCCAAUUGAAGCCUAUGCUGAAGGGCACCAGUUCUUGUCAAAAAGGCGAGAAGUUUGCUGAGGUUUAGAGACGAGAAAAGCUUUCUCAUUAAUUUUUU